Molecule: ribosomal RNA, 253 nt
Filed under: uncultured bacterium
Lineage: Bacteria
Description: partial 16S ribosomal RNA
Rfam family: Bacterial small subunit ribosomal RNA
Source: RNAcentral
UACGUAGGGUGCAAGCGUUGUCCGGAAUCAUUGGGCGUAAAGCGCGUGUAGGCGGCCCGGUAAGUCCGCUGUGAAAGUCGAGGGCUCAACCCUCGAAUGCCGGUGGAUACUGUCGGGCUAGAGUACGGAAGAGGCGAGUGGAAUUCCUGGUGUAGCGGUGAAAUGCGCAGAUAUCAGGAGGAACACCCAUUGCGAAGGCAGCUCGCUGGAACGGUACUGACGCUGAGACGCGAAAGCGUGGGGAGCGAACAGG